ACGCUCAUGCACGAAAGCGUGGGGGAGCAAAAAGGAUAGAUACCCGGUAGGCCACGCCCCUAAACGAUGUCAACUGGUUGUUGGACGGCUUGCUGUUCAGUAACGAAGCUAACGCGUGAAGUUGACCGCCUGGGGAGUACGGCCGCAAGGUUGAAACUCAAAGGAAUUGACGGGGGCCCGCACAAGCGGUGGAUGAUGUGGUUUAAUUCGAUGCAACGCGAAAAACCUUACCUACCCUUGACAUGCUAGGAAUUCUGCAGAGAUGUGGAAGUGCUCGAAAGAGAACCUAGACACAGGUGCUGCAUGGCCGUCGUCAGCUCGUGUCGUGAGAUGUUGGGUUAAGUCCCGCAACGAGCGCAACCCUUGUCAUUAGUUGCUACGAAAGGGCACUCUAAUGAGACUGCCGGUG
RNAcentral lists this ribosomal RNA (409 nucleotides) under uncultured bacterium. Its description in RNAcentral is "bacterial SSU rRNA". It matches the Rfam family "Bacterial small subunit ribosomal RNA", at positions 743 to 1157 of the family's 1533-position model. The record is from RNAcentral.